This 398-nucleotide ribosomal RNA is filed under the name uncultured bacterium. RNAcentral describes it as "bacterial SSU rRNA". It matches the Rfam family "Bacterial small subunit ribosomal RNA", at positions 975 to 1375 of the family's 1533-position model. The record is from RNAcentral.
CAGGGUUUGACAUCCUGCGACCGCUCCCUAAUAGGAGUUUUCCCGCAAGGGACGCAGAGACAGGUGCUGCAUGGCUGUCGUCAGCUCGUGUCGUGAGAUGUUGGGUUAAGUCCCGCAACGAGCGCAACCCUCGCCUUUAGUUGCCAUCAUUCAGUUGGGCACUCUAGAGGGACCGCCGGCGACAAGCCGGAGGAAGGUGGGGAUGACGUCAAGUCCUCAUGGCCCUUACACCCUGGGCUACACACGUGCUACAAUGGCGGUGACAGUGGGCAGCUACUUCGCGAGAAGCGGCUAAUCCCAAAAAACCGUCCCAGUUCAGAUUGCACUCUGCAACUCGAGUGCAUGAAGGUGGAAUCGCUAGUAAUCGCAGAACAGCAGGCUGCAGUGAAUACGUUCCC